CNAGGGGNAUAACAUAUUGGAAACGACUGCUAAUACCGCAUACNCCCUACNGGGGAAAGGAGGGGACCUUCGGGCCUUUCGCGAUUGNAUGAACCCAGGUGGGAUUACCUANUUGGUGGGGUAAUGGCUCACCAAGGCGACGAUCCCUAGCUGGUCUGAGAGGAUGAUCAGCCACACUGGAACUGAAACACGGUCCAGACUCCUACGGGAGNNAGCAGUGGGGAAUAUUGCACAAUGGGGGAAACCCUGAUGCAGCCAUGCCGCGUGUGUGAAGAAGGCCUUCGGGUUGUAAAGCACUUUCAGCGAGGAGGAAAGGUUGGCGCCUAAUACGUGUCAACUGUGACGUUACUCGCAGAAGAAGCACCGGCUAACUCCGUGCCAGCAGCCGCGGUAAUACGGAGGGUGCAAGCGUUAAUCGGAAUUACUGGGCGUAAAGCGCACGCAGGCGGUUGGAUAAGUUAGAUGUGAAAGCCCCGGGCUCAACCUGGGAAUUGCAUUUAAAACUGUCCAGCUAGAGUCUUGUANAGGGGGGUAGAAUUCCAGGUGUAGCGGUGAAAUGCGUANAGAUCUGGAGGAAUACCGGUGGCGAAGGCGGCCCCCUGGACAAAGACUGACGCUCAGGUGCGAAAGCGUGGGGAGCAAACAGGAUUANAUACCCUGGUAGUCCACGCCGUAAACGAUGUCNAUUUGGAGGCUGUGUCCUUGAA
This 707-nucleotide ribosomal RNA is filed under the name Aeromonas sp. RNAcentral's name for it is "bacterial SSU rRNA". It matches the Rfam family "Bacterial small subunit ribosomal RNA", at positions 135 to 836 of the family's 1533-position model. The record is from RNAcentral. Lineage: Bacteria; Pseudomonadati; Pseudomonadota; Gammaproteobacteria; Aeromonadales; Aeromonadaceae.